Molecule: ribosomal RNA, 492 nt
Filed under: uncultured bacterium
Lineage: Bacteria
Description: partial 16S ribosomal RNA
Rfam family: Bacterial small subunit ribosomal RNA
Source: RNAcentral
AGUGAACGCUGGCGGUAGGCCUAACACAUGCAAGUCGAACGGCAGCACAGUAAUAGCUUGCUCUUACGGUUGGCGAGUGGCGGACGGGUGAGGAAUACAUCGGAAUCUACUUUUUCGUGGGGGAUAACGUAGGGAAACUUACGCUAAUACCGCAUACGACCUACGGGUGAAAGCAGGGGAUCUUCGGACCUUGCGCGAUUGAAUGAGCCGAUGUCGGAUUAGCUAGUUGGCGGGGUAAAGGCCCACCAAGGCGACGAUCCGUAGCUGGUCUGAGAGGAUGAACAGCCACACUGGAACUGAGACACGGUCCAGACUCCUACGGGAGGCAGCAGUGGGGAAUAUUGGACAAUGGGCGCAAGCCUGAUCCAGCCAUACCGCGUGGGUGAAGAAGGCCUUCGGGUUGUAAAGCCCUUUUGUUGGGAAAGAAAAGCAGCAGGUUAAUACCCCGCUGUUCUGACGGUACCCAAAGAAUAAGCACCGGCUAACUUCGUG